GAUGAACGCUGGCGGCGUGCCUAAUACAUGCAAGUCGAACGAACAGACGAGGAGCGUGCUCCUCUGACGUUAGCGACGGACGGGUGAGUAAUACGUGGAUAACCGACCUAUAAGACUGGGAUAACUUCGGGAAACCGGAGCUAAUACCGGAUAAUAUAUUGAACCGCGUGGUUCAAUAGUGAAAGACGGAUUUGCUGUCACUUAUAGAUGGAUCCGCGCCGGAUUAGCUAGUUGGUAAGGUAACGGCUUACCAAGGCAACGAUGCGUAGCCGACCUGAGAGGGUGAUCAGCCACACUGGAACUGAGACACGGUCCAGACUCCUACGGGAGGCAGCAGUAGGGAAUCUUGCACAAUGGGCGAAAGCUUGACGGAGCCACGCCGCGUGAAUGAUGAAGGUCUUCGGAUCGUAAACUUCUGUUAUUCGGGAAGAAAAGAUGUGUAAGUAACUAUGCACGUCUUGACGGUACCUAAUCAGAAAGCCCCGGCUAACUACGUG
Molecule: ribosomal RNA, 497 nt
Filed under: uncultured bacterium
Lineage: Bacteria
Description: partial 16S ribosomal RNA
Rfam family: Bacterial small subunit ribosomal RNA
Source: RNAcentral